AGAAAGGAGGCAGGGAAGUGGCAAACUGUAGACUUCACUGCUGGGCUGAGGAUGGCCAUCCUGCCCCUCACUCAUUGGUUCCCUAAUCCUUCUCACCUUUCAUCUUUGUUCCAGGAUUUUCCCAACAGCCAAAAUCUAACAUCCAUAAAAUAUCAAGGUCUUCUGAAUCAGCACACCAAUCAGCCCAAGCAAAAAAGAAUGACAUAGAGCCUUUAUUAAACUGGUUCUGAGGUAUGUGGGACUAGCCUGGCUGGCUGACCAGGCUUCUUGAGCCCCACAGGCCUCUUUCACAGAAAGGGAGUUUGGAUCAACAAGACCAUGUACAAAAGGGGGAUAAUAUACCUACGUGAGGAGCCAAGUUUCCAUGUUGAUGGUAAAUGGAAAAACUUUUGAGUCAGAGCUGAGCUCUGGGACAAAAAGGGAAAAGAAGAGGGAUGAAGGGAAGGGGCCCAAUUCCUCUUGACUGAUUCUAAAGCUCAUAGGGGGAUUCCAACUCACAGCUAGCCCUCUGUACUAAGGAACCAGACGAAUCUUGACCU
This 539-nucleotide long non-coding RNA is filed under the name Homo sapiens (human). RNAcentral's name for it is "non-protein coding LINC00951:1". The record is from RNAcentral. Lineage: Eukaryota; Metazoa; Chordata; Mammalia; Primates; Hominidae.